AGCAUGUAAAGGUUUGAUUUUCAGCCUUAAUGAUUAUUUUGGUUGUUAUUUGGUUUCUCUUUUGGGAAAAAUUGUUGGUUUUGGAUCAUUGGGUAUUUUGUUUUUAGAGCAAUUAAGGUUGUUAGUUAUGUGCAGAUUGGUGUAAUGAUGAGGGUUUUGACCAAUUUUUUUUCAUCAUCUGGAUAAAAGUUUCAUCAUUACUCCUUUUUUUUUCUUUUUCUGUGAUGCUAUGAUGUUGUUUUUGUCAGUCCUAACCCUCCUUUCUAGUUCAUCAUUAGGCAGAUCUUUCCCAUGAUGACUUCCUGUUUCUGAUCUGUCUGUUUCUGCUUGUUUCAGAUCUGGCUUUGAACUUUGGUAAACAUUCUCUCUUCUUUUCAACGCUAUCCUUUUUUUUUCCUUUUCACAUCUCUCUAGGGUUUCAAGGUGGAGAGCUUUGUUGGCUCUUCCUCAAAAUGAAUCUUUUUGAACCAAGGUAGGCCUCAGUAAAGGACCAAAGGUAAACGGAAAAGAAAGGUUUGCCCUUUCUUUACAGUUUGAAAAUUCCAUGAAAAAAGAUUUCUUGCAAUGAGUUA
RNAcentral lists this long non-coding RNA (572 nucleotides) under Durio zibethinus. Its description in RNAcentral is "long non-coding RNA (DZIB_LNC000959)". Lineage: Eukaryota; Viridiplantae; Streptophyta; Magnoliopsida; Malvales; Malvaceae. The record is from RNAcentral.